GCCAGACAAAGGGACGACGUGAGGGACCCGGCCGAGCCCUCGCCGGGGAGGUUGGAGACAAAGCUGGGGCCUGAUUAGAGGCGGGCGACACGCCACAAAAGUGACCCAGCUAAGAAGUCCCUCUGCCUUCGGGACUGCUGCGCAAAAGCCCGAACUUGAGGACAGUUGUCAGGGCCUGGUCCUUUCGGUCACCCUCCAGCCCCACCUGGCCUUCCGGGAGAUUAUGAAAAUGACACCAGAGACCUACCCAGUGAAGAAUUAGGAAUGAGAAUCAUCUUUACUCAUAAAGUCUGUGGUUACCACAUCUAACCCAGUUCUCUUGCCAAAGAACUUGCUCUCCAGGACAGGUGACUCUUCUGGCAAAACAUGAGGUGCAUCUCAACUGCCUUCUUAAAGAUACUAAAAUAUCAUCCAAGGACUGCACAAAUGAGAACUUGUAUUGAUAAUGCUGAGAAGGGACACAAAUAUGUAAUGCCAAAAGGCUGAGAAGCACCCUGCGGUGUUGGAUUGGAAUCUGUGGUAUUAGCGUGAACUCAUGGUUUUUAAAUAUAUAGUUACAUUUGUGAGUA
This is a long non-coding RNA of Galeopterus variegatus (Sunda flying lemur), 569 nucleotides long. RefSeq lists it as uncharacterized. NCBI's taxonomy places the organism in Eukaryota, Metazoa, Chordata, Mammalia, Dermoptera, Cynocephalidae. The record is from RefSeq and is a predicted model, not a curated record. The transcript is spliced from 4 exons.